CUUGUAAAAGCACAAAGCACUUGGUGCUUGUAAGUUUUUUACCGUUAGAUCUACUCUUCGGAUCGUUUUCAACCAUUAGAUUAUACUAUUCAACCAACCCCCCACUCAACCCUAGGGAGCCCACAUCAUCCUAACCGCAUAUCUCUUAAUCCAAUGGUUAAAAAUCUAAAAGCACCAAUGGCUUGGUACUUUUAAAAGUAUAGGAGCUCAAUUAUCACUACAAUAGAAUUAGGUUAUAGGGACACAUGUUUGGGACACUUUUGAGUAAGCGUCCUAUUUAUCCUAAAACUUAAAAAAACAUAUACUAAUGCCUAAAUAUAAAGCCCAAUCCAACCAAAAAUAAAAGAUUACUCUACUCAACCCGUCACACCCAGUCCAUUUGGCCCGAUUACAAACAGAAAAGAAAAAAAAAAGAAAAUUCAAUUACCAUCUUUUCUUUUCUCUUCACUCAAUCCACUGAAAUUCUAGACGAAGAGCCUUUCCUGUCGUCCUCCUCCGCCACUGCAGCCAACGAGAUAGAGUUUCGACGGUUGCUAAAUGCUUAAAUAAGUAUUGGUAAAUUAGCAGCACUUUUUUAGGUUAUAGCGACACUCUUUAAUUGUCACUAUAUACCUAGCGACCCCACAUAUAGCAACACUUUUUAAAAGUGUCGGUAAUUUUCGCUAGCAGCACUUUUUUGACAUGUACCUAUAUUUAAAAGUGUCGCUAUAGACCGUUUUUGUUGUAGUGUAUAUAUAUAUAUAUAUAUAUAUA
This 753-nucleotide long non-coding RNA is filed under the name Ananas comosus (pineapple). RNAcentral's name for it is "long non-coding RNA (ACOM_LNC043814)". Lineage: Eukaryota; Viridiplantae; Streptophyta; Magnoliopsida; Poales; Bromeliaceae. The record is from RNAcentral.